GUGAUGGUGUGACAUGGAGGGCUACUCUGUUCUCUGCUGCUUUAACCUGGUUUGAAUGGCCUACAUCAAUCCUUACAUUUAAUGACAGAAAACUCAGCUUAACCUUGCUGUAAAAUUAUUGAUCAGACACCAUUGCACAGACCAGCCUGCAGAUGUUUUACUUAUACAGUGUGCAAUUAAGUGCAAUGAAGAGACCUGCCCACACCUCUGAUACAGCAAAGAAGCUGUGAAAACUUUUCCUAACAUGAUCCUACUUUGCCUUCUGGAUGAAGAGUAUGACUGAUGCCUUUUCUUCCCCAGUGCAGAAGUAUAUCUGUGGAGUAGAGAGACUAGAUUCUGCAGCACAAGGGAGAAUAACUUCAUUUUAUGAAUAGUGAAUCCUUGUAUAAUGUCAUCUUCACAUAAUCUCUAUUUUGCUGCCCUGAAAGAGAUUUUAUUUCAGUAAAUGUGCAGACCACCACUACAGUGAGACUGUACUGACUAAAAGAAGUGGUGUUACAAGUGUAAUUGUUGUUUUAAAGCACGCUAUUGAAGUGUACUAAUUAUUCUGUUCUUCUAUCUGUCUAAUUAACAGCUCUUGGGUUGCUUAUUUCUGCCACAAAGAAUGGUUUUACCUCAGGUCACCACCACACCAUCUGGCAGAUGUGGGCAUUGUAGCCAAAGCAGACACCUAUGAAUUAUUGUCAUAGUUAUACGUAGGAUACACAUUGUAGUUACAGUCAUGGUUAGGGUAUAAUUCAUAUUUACUUACCCUGAAUACCAAGAGGAUCAUACUACAAUAGUGUAGCCAGCAACAUAUAUAUAUGUGUAUAUUGGCAUAGCCAAACACAGCAUAUAAGCUU
RNAcentral lists this long non-coding RNA (842 nucleotides) under Anas platyrhynchos platyrhynchos (common mallard). RNAcentral's name for it is "lncRNA (ENSAPLG00000025534.1)". The record is from RNAcentral. Lineage: Eukaryota; Metazoa; Chordata; Aves; Anseriformes; Anatidae.